UACGUAGGGUGCGAGCGUUAAUCGGAUUUACUGGGCGUAAAUCGUGCGCAGGCGGCCCGUUAAGACAGGUGUGAAAUCCCUGGGCUCAACCUAGGAAUUGCGCUUGUGACUGGCGGGCUCGAGUACGGUAGAGGGGGGUGGAAUUCCUGGUGUAGCAGUGAAAUGCGUAGAGAUCAGGAGGAACACCGAUGGCGAAGGCAGCCCCCUGGGCCUGUACUGACGCUCAUGCACGAAAGCGUGGGGAGCAAACAGG
This 253-nucleotide ribosomal RNA is filed under the name uncultured microorganism. Its description in RNAcentral is "partial 16S ribosomal RNA". It matches the Rfam family "Bacterial small subunit ribosomal RNA", at positions 524 to 776 of the family's 1533-position model. The record is from RNAcentral.